GUGCCAGCAGCCGCGGUAAUACGAAGGGUGCAAGCGUUACUCGGAAUUACUGGGCGUAAAGCGUGCGUAGGUGGUGGUUUAAGUCUGUCGUGAAAGCCCUGGGCUCAACCUGGGAAUUGCGAUGGAUACUGGAUCACUAGAGUGUGGUAGAGGGAUGCGGAAUUUCCGGUGUAGCAGUGAAAUGCGUAGAGAUCGGAAGGAACAUCUGUGGCGAAGGCGGCAUCCUGGGCCAACACUGACACUGAGGCACGAAAGCGUGGGGAGCAAACAGGAUUAGAUACCCUCGUAGUCC
Molecule: ribosomal RNA, 292 nt
Filed under: uncultured bacterium
Lineage: Bacteria
Description: partial 16S ribosomal RNA
Rfam family: Bacterial small subunit ribosomal RNA
Source: RNAcentral